CGCUAGAAGCUUAAAUAUUGGACAAAGCAUUGGCCUUUUAAGCCAAAGAUUGGUGAUUCCCGACCACCCCUAGUGA
RNAcentral lists this transfer RNA (76 nucleotides) under Bangana decora. Its description in RNAcentral is "tRNA-Lys". It matches the Rfam family "tRNA". Rfam says of the family: Transfer RNA (tRNA) molecules are approximately 80 nucleotides in length. Their secondary structure includes four short double-helical elements and three loops (D, anti-codon, and T loops). Lineage: Eukaryota; Metazoa; Chordata; Actinopteri; Cypriniformes; Cyprinidae. The record is from RNAcentral.